GGCCUUGACAUACUAAGAACUUUCCAGAGAUGGAUUGGUGCCUUCGGGAACUUAGAUACAGGUGCUGCAUGGCUGUCGUCAGCUCGUGUCGUGAGAUGUUGGGUUAAGUCCCGNAACGAGCGCAACCCUUUUUCCUUAUUUGCCAGCGGGUCAUGCCGGGAACUUUAAGGAUACUGCCAGUGACAAACUGGAGGAAGGCGGGGACGACGUCAAGUCAUCAUGGCCCUUACGGCCAGGGCUACACACGUGCUACAAUGGUCGGUACAAAGGGUUGCUACCUCGCGAGAGGAUGCUAAUCUCAAAAAGCCGAUCGUAGUCCGGAUCGCAGUCUGCAACUCGACUGCGCGAAGUCGGAAUCGCUAGUAAUCGCGGAUCAGAAUGCCGCGGUGAAUACGUUCCCGGGCCUUGUACACACCGCCCGUCACACCAUGGGAGUUUGUUGCACCAGAAGUAGGUAGUCUAACCGCAAGGAGGACGCUUACCACGGUGUGGCCGAUGACUGGGGUGAAGUCGUAACAAGGUAAGCGUAGAUGA
This 534-nucleotide ribosomal RNA is filed under the name uncultured bacterium. RNAcentral's name for it is "bacterial SSU rRNA". It matches the Rfam family "Bacterial small subunit ribosomal RNA", at positions 977 to 1509 of the family's 1533-position model. The record is from RNAcentral.